CUGCAUUUGAAGCAGCUUGGAGCCAGAGAUGUGCUCAGAUGUACUCAACUGUGCGCAGCCCUGCUCCUCCAGGUUUGGAGGAAAGAACUGGAGCUCAAGUUCCCAAAGUCCAUCUCAGUAAGCAGAACAUCAAAGAGUCCAUCCAAAGGCAUGUCGGCCGCAAAGUCCGCCAGGCACUCAGUGCUCAGGCAGAUCUACGGUUGUUCUCAGGAAGGGAAAGUACAUCAUCCCAUCAGAUCUCCCAAAGUCCCUCCUGUGCUUCAUCUCAGUUCAGUGAACAGUUUGCAGUCUAUACAUCUUGACAGCAGUGGAAGAUCAAAGAAGUUUUCUUACAAUCUGCAACCAGCCAGUCAAUCAAAAAACAAGCCAAAGCUUUGAGCCUGAAGGAAGAUCAAAACCAGUGUGGACUUCGGCUCUGUGAACUCUUAAUUAGGACACCGAAGUCCUCAUUCCCCAACAUAUGUGGUCAGAGGCAGCGUUCAGAUGUUUUCUCCUGGGUACUCCUACCAGCAUACUUUUCCAUUCCUCUUGGCACGCACUGAAAAGGACCAGAGCAGAGUGCGCGGAUGGACCGCCGAGCUGUGCGCCUCACCUCAGCCGGCGUGGCUGGAGAAGAGAACUGCCACGCUCCUCAGUGUAACAGACAACACCUGCACUAAAGGAGCCGUGGGCCGGGAUUUCUCACAGCUAACCUGCACAGGCCUGGCCUCUUCACCCUAGGAAACCUGGGCCUCAGCGGCCACCUUCAAUUCUUUACUUCCCUGGAACAUACUGUGUGACAAACAUCACAAGAGACAGUUUAAAUUUUAGAUCGAAAUCAUGGCUUAGUGUUUGCAUUAGAAACCACCCAUUGUACUAAAGCGGAACUGAGGAGUGCAUUCUGGGGCUUCCUUACAGUUUUCAGUUUCCAAAUUGGCCCUGGAAGACGACGCGCUGCAGCUGUGUGCUCUCCCUGACUGGGGCUUUCACUGCUGAGAGGCACCGAUGACAGCACAGCACCAAGAAGUCGGUAGACAGGUUGACAGCACAAUGCGCCAACCAACUCUGGCUUCUCUUCCCCUUUGCAUCCUGACCAACUUGCAGAAGAAAAUAACCUUCCCCAAAUGCAAUUUCUUUUGUGAAAGUAACCCACAUUCUAGCUUUCUAAGAAUACUUGCCUUAAAUAAAGUCUAGUGAUUAUGGACUUUUACAGAGGCAGAUAACAUCAGGUCAUUCCUGUGCUAACACUAAAGGACAGGAAUUUACGUCAUUUAAUCACAAUGACUUUGGUAUAGUAAAUUAUAUUCAAAAUUUUGGAGACAGGUUUAUCUAGACAGGAUCACAAAGAUUCAUUGGUAAGUGAAUGAAGGCACCAUAGAUCACUGUAUGUCUUAUAAACAUUUAGCUUUUAUGAAAUUCACAAUGUUCUACUGCCUGUCCUUGUAUCAUGUGCUAAUCCACGCAAACAGAGUGAGAUCACUAAGAACUCUUAAACCUUAUUUUCCCACUUUUGUAAGAAGGAAGCUCACGAACAACUUCUUUAAAAGUUGAGUUUAAUGGCAAAUAUUUGUUACAUCAGUCUCUCUUCAAAAUAAAAUGAAUGUGCAUGAACAAUUAAUUUCAAACAGGAGGUGCCAUGGUGCUUCUUUAAUACAGUGCAUUCAAUAUACUAGGCCCCUGGGGAUGGCCACUGAUGUACACACUGAAGCAGUAAUGUAAGUCUGUAAGCCACUGCUCCUGAACACUGCCACUCUUCAAAGUCUGCAGAGAAAAACAAAAGGCACUUUAGUUUGAGAACUGAACUACCUGACAUUUUUCAUGGCCUCCAUAAAAGUAUCCUCCUCCACCACCAGCUGGAGAACAUACAUGGGCUGGACCUACGCCUCCCUGAACACAGUAUGCAGCAGACGUGUAGCCUCAUCUUCGUGUGGGUCCUGAACAAUGGGAGCAAGGGCUGUCCCAGAAAUUGUUGCCUAUACAUGAAACAUGUCCUCUAUAGCUGGGCUCCCUUGUCUGGCCUCAGCGGGAGUGGAGAAACCUAUCCUCCCAGAGGACUUGAUGUGCCAGGGUGGAAGGAUACCCAGGGGUGUCCCCACCCACUCAGAGGAGAAGGGGAUGGGGGAGGAAUUGUGAGAGGGGGUGUAGGUAGGUAGGGUAGUAAGCAGGAAGUAAAAAGUGAGUAAGAAAUAAAAGUUAAAAAAAUAUUCUAUAAACUAGAAGAAAUCUUAAAAUAUAAAACAAACCAAUCAACUAUUGGGAGUUACUAUAGCCAGUGAAAAUGCCUACUCUUUACGAAAAUUUGAAAUUAUAAAUGGGCCCUAAGGCUUUGGUAUCUGAAUAAUUUUUCCCGAGUAGUGCUGCUGUUUGGAAGGUUCUUUGGACAGAGCCCACUUGUGGUCCAGGCUCUCUACUUCCUGACUCACUGAGAUAUAACUCCACCCAGCAAACUCCCACUGCCGCAAAUGUACCCCAGCCACAGUGUUUACCCCAUGACAAUAGAGUGCCUGCCCGCUCAAAUUGUCAAAUACAGUGAGUCCUUUAAGUUGGAACUGUGAUUUGGUUAAUGUGACAAGAGAAACAGUAUGUGCCCCUAAGAAUAACAAGUUCUUUGCAAAUCUGUUCCUUCCUGGACAUGCUGGAGACUAAUAAAAAAUUUUAUGGAC
This 2642-nucleotide long non-coding RNA is filed under the name Rattus norvegicus (Norway rat). RNAcentral's name for it is "long non-coding RNA NONRATT022264". The record is from RNAcentral. Lineage: Eukaryota; Metazoa; Chordata; Mammalia; Rodentia; Muridae.